Molecule: ribosomal RNA, 621 nt
Filed under: uncultured bacterium
Lineage: Bacteria
Description: bacterial SSU rRNA
Rfam family: Bacterial small subunit ribosomal RNA
Source: RNAcentral
CCUACGGGAGGCAGCAGUGGGGAAUCUUGCGCAAUGCACGAAAGUGUGACGCAGCAACGCCGCGUGGAGGAAGAAGGCUCUCGGGUCGUAAACUCCUUCCAGUUGGGACGAAGCUUCGUCGGUUAAUAGCCGGCUGGAGUGACGGUACCUUCACAAGAAGCACCGGCUAACUACGUGCCAGCAGCCGCGGUAAUACGUAGGGUGCAAGCGUUGUCCGGAAUCAUUGGGCGUAAAGAGCGUGUAGGCGGCCCGAUUAGUCCGCUGUGAAAGUCCAGGGCUCAACCCUGGAAUGCCGGUGGAUACUGUCGGGCUCGAGUCCGGAAGAGGCGAGUGGAAUUCCUGGUGUAGCGGUGAAAUGCGCAGAUAUCAGGAAGAACACCAACGGUCGAAGGCAGCUCGCUGGGACGGUACUGACGCUGAGACGCGAAAGCGUGGGGAGCAAACAGGAUUAGAUACCCUGGUAGUCCACGCCGUAAACGAUGGGUACUAGGUNUGGGGGUUGUCGACUCCCCCGGUUGCCGAAGCUAACGCAUAAGUACCCCGCCUGGGGAGUACGGCCGCAAGGCUAAAACUCAAAUGAAUUGACGGCGNGAGAGNGCGAGACGACGACGAGGGAGGAGG